This 88-nucleotide transfer RNA is filed under the name Nitrososphaerota archaeon. RNAcentral's name for it is "Thaumarchaeota archaeon tRNA-Phe". It matches the Rfam family "tRNA". From Rfam's summary of the family: Transfer RNA (tRNA) molecules are approximately 80 nucleotides in length. Their secondary structure includes four short double-helical elements and three loops (D, anti-codon, and T loops). The record is from RNAcentral. Lineage: Archaea; Thermoproteati; Nitrososphaerota.
GCCGCGGUAGCUCAGCCUGUCCUCGGGGGUUAUGGAGAGCAUCCGGCUGAAGACCGGAGUGUCGUCGGCUCAAAUCCGACCCGCGGCA